UGGGAGCAUAGCUCAGAGGUAGAGCAAUGGAUUCUUAAUCCGUGGUCGAAGGUUCAAAUCCUUCUCUCCCAGCCA
RNAcentral lists this transfer RNA (75 nucleotides) under Candidatus Kaiserbacteria bacterium CG10_big_fil_rev_8_21_14_0_10_56_12. RNAcentral describes it as "tRNA-Lys". It matches the Rfam family "tRNA". Rfam says of the family: Transfer RNA (tRNA) molecules are approximately 80 nucleotides in length. Their secondary structure includes four short double-helical elements and three loops (D, anti-codon, and T loops). Lineage: Bacteria; Candidatus Kaiseribacteriota. The record is from RNAcentral.